Lepisosteus oculatus (spotted gar) is the source of this 5427-nucleotide long non-coding RNA. RefSeq lists it as uncharacterized. The record is from RefSeq and is a predicted model, not a curated record. Lineage: Eukaryota; Metazoa; Chordata; Actinopteri; Semionotiformes; Lepisosteidae.
CUUCAUGGCAACAGAACCCACAGCAACAAUGACUUUAAUCACCAUCUUUAUCUGGGCACUCUUCAUUUCUACUGAGGCAGGAACAGGGAGACUUCACUAGGAAUGACAACGCCCAAGAUCAAAGCGUAAUUAACUAUUGUGGAGCGGAUAUUUGGCUUAACCCACUUGGCUGAGAACCGACGUCCUGGCCAUAGGACGAGGAGGCCUGGACCCCACGCAAGCCUGGCGCUCCCACUAUUCCCCGCUCUGCAUUGGAAGAUGGAUGCACGGAAGUCCGCGUACCAGCGGAUCCUGGAGAGACCCGACAGCAUAGGCUUCAUCACGGCAUCCUGACCUGCUGAGUCCAGGGCUCGGAGCGCCUGGCCUCAUUACUGUUUUUAUCCUCCUGGUUCCCUGUUACUAUUCCUGUUCCAGAUCCCGUUCCGGUUUUAAUCUUGUCUGUCUCGGAUUGGAUCUCCCGGCUCCUGGACCCUGGACUGCGCCUCGGUUUCCCCUUUGGACUACCUUAGGACUUGUUCGCAUGCGACACGCCCCCUGAGCACCAGAUCUCAGCCGUCACGCCCCCCUGUCUGUCAUCCCAUCCUGCGCCUGCUGUGUUUCCCUUGAAGUCUUAUUCCAGUCACUUCAGGAUUAUAGCGUCUGCAUAGGGUCCAAAAUACGCACUACUCGGGAGUCAGGACCGGCUCUCGUGACUAUUUGACGACUUUUAGAAACCAAUCAAACAUAAUAAUUUACAGUCUCAUGCAGGAAUUACGAAUAAACAACAUACAGUUUAUUGAUAUGAUGAAUACAUGCAUAACAAACAACAAGCAUAACAAAAUACAUCUGAGAAACGAUCUGCUGUGAUCGUUAAAAUAUGCAGCGAUUAUAAUGUGUUACAGUCUAGCUCGUAGGUUAUAUCAGUCUCGUAAAACUAAAUCAUAUUCAUAUUCUCAGAUACAAGUAAAUGUGCAUUAACUAUCAUGAACUAAACAUCAAAUGUGUGUUUGGAAUAAUAGCACACCUCUUGAGAAUUAUGAUGUGAAUAAUGAAAUUUUACUUUGGUCUUAAAAAGCAGUUUGUGCACAGUUUUUCCUCUAGGGGUCUGCAAGGUAGGCAAAAGGGGAACUUAGGUUAUUUCGUGCUAUAGUUUUUGUUCAGAGUGUGCUUGGAUAUUCUGGAUGUCGACAAAAAGAGUCUAGCAGUCUAAUUUUGUUGAUUGUUGAAGAUGACAUUGGGUUUACAAACAGAAGAUUUCUUCUGUUUCAGGAAGAAUAUCUUGGAAUUCUGCAUUUUACUGACACUCUCUCAGCCUGGCUUCUCUGAGAAAAGUUUAAGACCUGACUCGGACUGCUCGCAGUCCCAUGGUUGAAAAUUCAGUUUGCAGUUCAGUUGAAGAGAUUGAGUCAGUGAGUUAACCAGCGGAAAAUGACUUGAGUUUCAGUUUUGUAGUAUCGCAUCACAAGUUGGUGAUUGUCUGAGAUGCCAUCAGGUAUACCGCUGGUGCCCACCUUACAGGUCACUCAUUGGUGGAUCUUCCUUUGGGCGAUUGAACAUGUCCUGUGACUUUUAAGAUCAGAUCCAGAUGUACCUAUGGCUCUCAACUAGACAUCCAGGCACUAGCAGUGUACAUCCAUCAUGGGAGUUGAGAUCGCCUCUGUUGUAGAAAGGAUUGUUAUCCAGGAGACAAACUCACCUCUCUUACUUUCCCACAUGUGAAGACCAACAAGACAUUCUGUGGCUGAGAUUGCAAAGAGAGGCCUCUUUAGCUACAUCCCUGUGUAUUUACACAGGCAGGCACCAGGCUAUAUGGUCAAGGCACGCAAAGAUUAUUAGAAAUCUUUAAUAGUACCUUAAUUCUAAUUAUUAAACGGAUAGUUCCUGUCCUGAAAUCUGAUUGGCUGACACGCUUUUGAAGCAGUGCUAUAUUUUCCGAGAUGCCAAAAUUAUAAUUGCACACAUCAUUCUUAAAUAUAUGAUGGUUUAUCAUCAUACCAUUGGUGGUGGUGGAGGGGAGUCCCCAUUACCUGUAAAGCGCUUUGAGUGGAGUGUCCAGAAAAGCGCUAUAUAAGUGUAAGAAAUUAUUAUUAUUUAUCAGGGCACAUAACACAUUGUAACUGUGCAUUUCUACAUUUCAACCUCUGCUAUAAAAAAUUACUUCAAUAAAAAGUUGGGCUCAAUUUUUGUUUUGAUGCCUGUAGUGCGUUUAACCUUUAAAACACACUGGAUAUUAGUAAUCCCGCUAUAUUUUAGCAAGGCAGAUUAAACCAGUCUCUCCACUCUCUAAUCCAUUCCAGCUGUGUUGAGUGGAAUUAGGGCUCGGCUGAUUGUGUCUCAUCCUCUGCUCCUUAUAAAGCUGUUCUCUGUCUAGUCCUGCCGUCCUGGGAGUGUUCAUGCUAAACUGUUCAUGUUGGCGCUGAAACCUGAUGUUGGAGAAGUGAGUUUCCACUAACUCCCCAGGGGGAUCCUGGAUAGAGAGACAAAGCGAAAACAGGAAGAGGAGAAGGAGGGAGGUGGAAACUUUAGAUCUGAGGGUCUGAGUGUUUGAGGUUAAAAUAGAGACACAAUUGAGGCAGAGGACUGACUCUUUCUACUGUCGGUUAUCUAGAAGAACAGAAGACUGUCAUGCAAACAGGGAGCACACUUCCCAUGAGCAUUAAAAUAAGUUUUCAGUGUCUCUCCAGCCCCAUAGAUAAAACACACGUCUUUCCUUCAACACUGUGAGGUAAGGCAGUUAGUAAUUGUGCUGCAUCUGAACAAACAGAGCCAAGUGUAGUUUUAACCAGAUUCUCUGCACUCCACCCCAUUCCAACUAUGUUGAGUGGAAUAAGGACAUAGCUGAUCAGCAGAUCUGUGAAAGUGUAAACGUAUAUAAAAUGUGGGUUGCAUGACUGUUUUUAAUAUGUGCAUUUGCAUGCUUCAGUCUCUGUAAAAUAUGGUUUUAGUUCAACUAUUUAUCCUGCAGUAUCCGAACACACAAAGCCAAGUACUGCUUUAACCAGACUCUCCACAAUCCACUUCAUUCAAGUUGGACUCAGCUGAUUGUGUCUCAUCCUCUGCACCUUAUAAAGCUGCUCCCUGUCUAGUCCUGCUGUCCUGGGAGUGUUCAUGCUAAACUGCACAUCUUGCUCUGUCACAUCACAGCACUAAACCUGAGUUUCCAGCACUAACUGGCUACAAGUGCUGCUGAACACAGGAAACAUUUUGCAUAGAAGAGAAACUUUGCAUUGGCAGCACAUGCUUCAGUGCUCUGGGAGUGUUUAUAGCCCUGUGAGUUUAACAUUUCAUGAAUGAGACCUGCCCUUCAUGGCAACAGAAUCCACAGCAACUAUGACUUUCAUCACCAUCUUCAUCUGGACACUCCUCAUCUGGGCUCAGGAAUCCAGUGGACAGCUUACUGUGACUCAGACUCCAGGAGUGAAAUAUAUUGCUCCAGGACAGAUAGUCACUGUGAGCUGUAAGUCCAGUCCUGCAGUGUAUAAUAACAACUACCUCAACUGGUACCAGCAGAAAGCUGGAAAAGCUCCUAACCUCCUAAUCUAUGCAGCAACUACCCGUCAUGCUGGGAUCCCAGAUACCAACAGAAAGCUGGAGAAGCUCCUAAACUCCUUAUCUAUCUUGCAACUACCUGUCAGACUGGGAUUCCAGAGCGUUUCAGUGAAAGUGGAUCUGGGACUGACUUCACUCUGACCAUCACAGGAGUCCUGGCUGAAGAUGCAGCAGAAUAUUACUGUCAGAGUGCUCACAGUGGUGGUGUGUUUACACAGUGUUACACACCUGUACAAAAACCUCCCUCAGCAGGACUGCACAGCAACUGCACUGUUGCAGCUUUGACCUACUGCAUGUGCUGAGGGUGAAAGCAAAGACACGGGACACAGCCUGUAAAGGAGCUCAACUGCACACAAACACACUUUAAAUCUCACAUUGUUGUUUGGAUUCCGUGUUUUAAACUUGUGUUGCCAUUUCUUAGAAGUGUGAUAGAAAGGGUUUUUGACCAAUUUACUGAACUCAAUUUACUGAAUUUUACUGAAAAUGCCUAGAUAAGACACUAAAAGUUGCCUUUAGUAGCAGAAUCCUCUUAAAAAACCCAAAGUGCACACAUUUCUAGGUCACCUACUCUGAACUUUGUCAGUUUUGAUAUUUACAGUUGUUAAGCACAAACUGUAAUAUUUAUCAUGUCUUUAUUUGCAAUGUGACCUCAUCUAUCCAGGUGCAGAGGAGACAGUGUGACCCCUAAUGUUUUAUAGUGUUUUAUAAUGUUUUAUAAAACCAGCAGGUUUUAUCGGUCACCAGUUUCUAAAGACCUCAGUUUCAUUCUGAUCAGGUGAUCAUUAAACAGGUCAUUAUUGCGCUAAGUAAUUUAUAGAUCAUUUAGAAAACAAUCUGCUUACUUUAAAAAAAAAAUCUGACUAUCUUAUGCCAUCUGGUCAGGUGACUGAGGACGACAGGUCUUUUCCCUCAGGCCUGUUGGGAUUUAGUUCAGACAAGAGUCUUCAUCUCCCAAAGAAAUAGUUUUGAUCAGCCUCAGUAAAUUUGAAGAAUUCAGACUAAUACACUGACAAGUGUUGAUACUUUGCCUUGACAAAAUGGUUUGACUACACUAAGCCUGUAUCUAAUUUAAUCGUAUCUCGAUUGUAAUGAAGUCUUAGUGCUAUCGAAAGUCACAUGUCAGUUCAGUCUGAUGGCUUUUUCUCAACUACAGACUGACACUGAUCUGCAGUCUGCGCUAGAGGGCGCUGCCUUGAAGCUUUUGGACAGACCUGAGUCUGCACAAUGGCUGCAUUAUGAACCUCUCUAAAGUUUAAUUCAUGUGUUAAUACUUUUCUCGAUACUAAGAUUUAAUUUAACCAGACAUUUUACAAUUAUACAUAGAUAUCACUGUUAGACCAUAUUUAUACUCAAUCUGGAUAUGCGUAAUUUGUAAGUUAUCAUGUUAGAGUCAAAGAUAGACAUUACACAACAGGCAUAUUAGUAAUAAUGUUUCCACCAAAAUAAAAUGGUUUUCUAAGAUUUAAAUUUUUACAAACUCCAGUACAAUCAAAAAUCAGUCACCGGUCUGUCCCCACUCCACCCUGAGGCCUGAGCGCUGUGCCUGCUGGGAUGUUCAAAUCCAGGUGACCCAGGGCAAAGAUGAUCUUGCUGUUUCUAAAUUCCUGACGGCACACUGAAGUGACAGAAAUUUAACUAUUUUCAUGCGCAACUGCUCUGUGAAUCCUUAGAGCAAAUAUAGACCAGGGUGAGAGAAAUUGUUAGACUCUGUCUAGAGUCUAGAGUCGGUGGGAUGUGAGUGUUUAUUGGGGUUUUGUAUAGAUGUUUAUAAGUGUCUAUGAUGUGUCUGUGGAGUGUGAGGCGUGUCUGUGUUGUGGAAUGUCUUUCUCCUCUUUUUUCAUGGGUAGUAAAGAAAUAAGUUGUACAUACACCAACAAUAAAUAUAUUGUUUUGUCUUUA